AGAGUUUGAUCCUGGCUCAGAUUGAACGCUGGCGGCAUGCCUUACACAUGCAAGUCGAACGCGAAAGGGGGGGCAACCCCCCGAGUAGAGUGGCGAACGGGUGAGUAAUACAUCGGAACGUGUCCAGUAGCGGGGGAUAACCUCUCGAAAGAGAGGCUAAUACCGCAUACGACCUACGGGUGAAAGAGGGGGAUCGCAAGACCUCUCACUAUUGGAGCGGCCGAUGUCGGAUUAGCUAGUUGGCGGGGUAAAAGCCCACCAAGGCGACGAUCCGUAGCUGGUCUGAGAGGACGGCCAGCCACACUGGAACUGAGACACGGUCCAGACUCCUACGGGAGGCAGCAGUGGGGAAUUUUGGACAAUGGGCGCAAGCCUGAUCCAGCCAUGCCGCGUGAGUGAAGAAGGCCUUCGGGUUGUAAAGCUCUUUCGGCUGGGGCGAAAAGGUCCGCGCUAACACCGCGGAUCCAUGACGGUACCAGCAGAAGAAGCACCGGCUAACUACGUGCCAGCAGCCGCGGUAAUACGUAGGGUGCAGGCGUUAAUCGGAAUUACUGGGCGUAAAGCGUGCGCAGGCGGUUUGCUAAGACAGGUGUGAAAUCCCCGGGCUUAACCUGGGAACUGCGCUUGUUACUGGCAAGCUGGAGUGUGGCAGAGGGGGGUGGAAUUCCACGUGUAGCAGUGAAAUGCGUAGAGAUGUGGAGGAACACCGAUGGCGAAGGCAGCCCCCUGGGCUAACACUGACGCUCAUGCACGAAAGCGUGGGGAGCAAACAGGAUUAGAUACCCCAGUAGUCC
RNAcentral lists this ribosomal RNA (794 nucleotides) under uncultured beta proteobacterium. Its description in RNAcentral is "bacterial SSU rRNA". It matches the Rfam family "Bacterial small subunit ribosomal RNA", at positions 8 to 796 of the family's 1533-position model. Lineage: Bacteria; Pseudomonadati; Pseudomonadota; Betaproteobacteria. The record is from RNAcentral.